UACACGACCGUACCGCAAACCGACACUGGUGCGCGAGAUGAGUAUUCUAAGGCGCUUGAGAGAACUCAGGAGAAGGAACUCGGCAAAUUGACACCGUAACUUCGGAAGAAGGUGUGCCUUUAGUAGGUGAAGUCCCUCGCGGAUGGAGCCCAAUGAGGUUGCAAAAAAUCGGUGGCUGCGACUGUUUAUUAAAAACACAGCACUCUGCAAACACGAAAGUGGACGUAUAGGGGUGACGCCUGCCCGGUGCUGGAAGAUUAAAUGAUGGGGUGCAAGCUCUUGAUUGAAGUCCCAGUAAACGGCGGCCGUAACGAUAACGGUCCUAAGGUAGCGAAAUUCCUUGUCGGGUAAGUUCCGACCUGCACGAAUGGCGUAACGAUGGCCACACUGUCUCCUCCUGAGACUCAGCGAAGCUGAAAUGUUUGUGAUGAUGCAAUCUCCCCGCGGAAAGACGGAAAGACCCCAUGAACCUUUACUGUAGCUUUGUAUUGGACUUUGAACAGAUCUGUGUAGGAUAGGUGGGAGGCUUUGAAGCAGGGUCGCUAGAUCUUGUGGAGCCAACGUUGAAAUACCACCCUGGUGUGUUUGAGGUUCUAACCUAGGCCCGUAAUCCGGGUUGGGGACAGUGCAUGGUAGGCAGUUUGACUGGGGCGGUCUCCUCCCAAAGUGUAACGGAGGAGUUCGAAGGUACGCUAGUUACGGUCGGACAUCGUGACGAUAGUGCAAUGGCAUAAGCGUGCUUAACUGCGAGACUGACAAGUCGAGCAGAUGCGAAAGCAGGACAUAGUGAUCCGGUGGUUCUGUAUGGAAGGGCCAUCGCUCAACGGAUAAAAGGUACUCUGGGGAUAACAGGCUGAUACCGCCCAAGAGUUCAUAUCGACGGCGGUGUUUGGCACCUCGAUGUCGGCUCAUCUCAUCCUGGGGCUGUAGCCGGUCCCAAGGGUAUGGCUGUUCGCCAUUUAAAGAGGUACGUGAGCUGGGUUUAAAACGUCGUGAGACAGUUUGGUCCCUAUCUUCCGUGGGCGCUGCAGAUUUGAGGAAGCCUGCUCCUAGUACGAGAGGACCGGAGUGGACGCACCUCUGGUGUAUCGGUUGUCACGCCAGUGGCAUUGCCGAGUAGCUAUGUGCGGAAGAGGUAACCGCUGAAAGCAUCUAAGCGGGAAACUCGUUUCAAGAUGAGAUCUGCCGGGGCCUUGAGCCCCCUGAAGAGUCGUUCAAGACCAGGACGUUGAUAGGUCGGGUGUGGAAGCGCAGUAAUGCGUUAAGCUAACCGAUACUAAUUGCUCGUGCGGCUUGACC
Molecule: ribosomal RNA, 1299 nt
Filed under: metagenome
Description: bacterial LSU rRNA
Rfam family: Bacterial large subunit ribosomal RNA
Source: RNAcentral